UUUGAGAGAUCAUUCAUUUGUAAAUAUUUGAGAGGAAGUUUCUCAAGUGUGGGGUAUCACUUGAGGGGUUGUUCAAGAGUGGGAUAUCUCUUGAGAAGUGUAAAGGGUGCUUGGAGCCAAAAGUCCAAGAGGGUGAAUUGGAACCAUAAUCCAAUUGUAUUGCUUGAAGGCUUGGUUUAGAAGCCUUGGAUUAGUGGAACCUCAAGC
RNAcentral lists this long non-coding RNA (207 nucleotides) under Vitis vinifera (wine grape). RNAcentral describes it as "long non-coding RNA (VVIN_LNC006151)". The record is from RNAcentral. Lineage: Eukaryota; Viridiplantae; Streptophyta; Magnoliopsida; Vitales; Vitaceae.